GACGUAGGGCGCGAGCGUUGUCCGGAUUUAUUGGGCGUAAAGAGCUCGUAGGCGGCUUGUCGCGUCGACCGUGAAAACUUGGGGCUCAACCCCAAGCCUGCGGUCGAUACGGGCAGGCUCGAGUUCGGUAGGGGAGACUGGAAUUCCUGGUGUAGCGGUGAAAUGCGCAGAUAUUAGGAGGAACACCGAUGGCGAAGGCAGGUCUCUGGGCCGAUACUGACGCUGAGGAGCGAAAGCGUGGGGAGCGAACAGG
RNAcentral lists this ribosomal RNA (253 nucleotides) under uncultured bacterium. RNAcentral's name for it is "partial 16S ribosomal RNA". It matches the Rfam family "Bacterial small subunit ribosomal RNA", at positions 524 to 776 of the family's 1533-position model. The record is from RNAcentral.